GACCGCGUAGCUCAGUUGGAAGAGCUUGGGCUAGUAUUCCAAAGGUCGUAGGGUCGAAUCCCACCGUGGCCA
RNAcentral lists this transfer RNA (72 nucleotides) under Paramuricea clavata. It matches the Rfam family "tRNA". From Rfam's summary of the family: Transfer RNA (tRNA) molecules are approximately 80 nucleotides in length. The record is from Rfam by way of RNAcentral. Lineage: Eukaryota; Metazoa; Cnidaria; Anthozoa; Malacalcyonacea; Plexauridae.